ACACACACACACACUGAUCUCACGUCAGUCAUUUAAAAGUGCUGAUAACACAAUGCCUUUAAUGACCAACAAUCCUCAGAAGCCAUUUCUGCACAUAUAUCCUUUAUCUGUUAAUGACUGAAUGUAUCACGCCUGAAUUUCAUUACUCAGGGAAAAACGCCCAAGCAGAGAGAGAGGGCUGAUGGGAAGCGUUUCUCCAGUACUCUGACAGGACGCCGAGGACAAUCUCCACCGCGAGUCUUUCUUCUCAGGCGAAUCUCAUGCCAAUGUCACAUCAGGAAAUCUAGGUGCUAGGUGGUUGCUAGAGUAUUUUGACUGGUUUCUAAGGCAUCGCUAGGCAGUUGCUUUGGUGUUCUGACAUUGAUAGGUGGUUGCUAUUGUGUUUUGUCUGGUUUCUAAGGCAUCGCUAGGCAGUUGCUGUGGUGUUCUGACAUUGAUAGGUGGUUGCUAUUGUGUUUUGUCUGGUUUCUAAGGCAUCGCUAGGCAGUUUCUGUGGUGUUCUGGCAUUGCUAGGUGGUUGCUAGAGUGUUUUGUCUGGUUUCUAAGGCAUCGCUAGGCAGUUUCUGUGGUGUUCUGGCAUUGCUAGGUGGUUGCUAGAGUGUUUUGACUGGUUUCUAAGGCGUCACUAGGCAGUUGCUGUGGUGUUCUGGCAUUGCUAGGUGGUUG
Cyprinus carpio carpio is the source of this 666-nucleotide long non-coding RNA. Lineage: Eukaryota; Metazoa; Chordata; Actinopteri; Cypriniformes; Cyprinidae. The record is from Ensembl.